This 301-nucleotide ribosomal RNA is filed under the name uncultured bacterium. RNAcentral describes it as "partial 16S ribosomal RNA". It matches the Rfam family "Bacterial small subunit ribosomal RNA", at positions 509 to 807 of the family's 1533-position model. The record is from RNAcentral.
CAGUCGCCGCGGGAAUACGGAGGGGGCUAGCGUUGUUCGGAAUUACUGGGCGUAAAGCGCACGUAGGCGGCUUGGUAAGUUAGAGGUGAAAGCCCGGAGCUCAACUCCGGAAUUGCCUUUAAGACUGCCGAGCUAGCAGGUGAGAGAGGUAAGUGGAAUUCCGAGUGUAGAGGUGAAAUUCGUAGAUAUUCGGAAGAACACCAGUGGCGAAGGCGGCUUACUGGCUCAUACUGGACGCUGAGGUGCGAAAGCGUGGGGAGCAAACGGGAUUAGAUACCCCAGUAGUCCCUGUCUCUUAUAC